AAUUCUUCAUAAACCAUUGUUGAGCAUCAUCAAUCAGUUUACUAAAAUUUUGUAGUAAUUAGAUGUUAGGUUAAUUUGAUUUUGAACAAAUGGAGAAAAGAAACGACGAAAAGCUGCAGUUUAACUACUUUCUUAAUAAUUGCAGAAUUUGUAUAUUUAAACUAUUGCUGAUUUAUGAGCAUUACGUUCUUGCAUAACUUAAAUUGCUAUCCAGUAAAAAAAUAAAUCUUAAAUUUCAAAAAUAAAAAACGAUGCUUUUUAUUAUUCUA
Molecule: long non-coding RNA, 269 nt
Filed under: Jatropha curcas
Lineage: Eukaryota; Viridiplantae; Streptophyta; Magnoliopsida; Malpighiales; Euphorbiaceae
Description: long non-coding RNA (JCUR_LNC003513)
Source: RNAcentral